Molecule: ribosomal RNA, 573 nt
Filed under: Methylobacterium sp. CBMAI 706
Lineage: Bacteria; Pseudomonadati; Pseudomonadota; Alphaproteobacteria; Hyphomicrobiales; Methylobacteriaceae
Description: bacterial SSU rRNA
Rfam family: Bacterial small subunit ribosomal RNA
Source: RNAcentral
UUCGGAAGUCAGUGCCAGACGGGUGAGUAACACGUGGGAACGUGCCCUUCGGUUCGGAAUAACUCAGGGAAACUUGAGCUAAUACCGGAUACGCCCUUUUGGGGAAAGGUUUACUGCCGAAGGAUCGGCCCGCGUCUGAUUAGCUUGUUGGUGGGGUAACGGCCUACCAAGGCGACGAUCAGUAGCUGGUCUGAGAGGAUGAUCAGCCACACUGGGACUGAGACACGGCCCAGACUCCUACGGGAGGCAGCAGUGGGGAAUAUUGGACAAUGGGCGCAAGCCUGAUCCAGCCAUGCCGCGUGAGUGAUGAAGGCCUUAGGGUUGUAAAGCUCUUUUGUCCGGGACGAUAAUGACGGUACCGGAAGAAUAAGCCCCGGCUAACUUCGUGCCAGCAGCCGCGGUAAUACGAAGGGGGCUAGCGUUGCUCGGAAUCACUGGGCGUAAAGGGCGCGUAGGCGGCCGAUUAAGUCGGGGGUGAAAGCCUGUGGCUCAACCACAGAAUUGCCUUCGAUACUGGUUGGCUUGAGACCGGAAGAGGACAGCGGAACUGCGAGUGUAGAGGUGAAAUUCGUA